AAAAUGCGAUAAGUAGUGUGAAUUGCAGAAUUCAGUGAAUCAUCGAAUCUUUGAACGCACAUUGCGCCCCUUGGUAUUCCAUGGGGCAUGCCUGUUCGAGCGUCAUUUGUACCCUCAAGCUCUGCUUGGUGUUGGGUGUUUGUCCCCGUCUCCGCGCGUGGACUCGCCCCAAAGUGAUUGGCAGCCGGCGUACUGGUCCCGGAGCGCAGCACAUGUCGCGCAAACGAGUGCCUUGGUACGGCGGCGUCCAUAAGCCCCUCUCUCACGCUCUUGACCUCGGAUCAGGUAUGUAUACCCGCUGAACUUAAGC
This 310-nucleotide unclassified non-coding RNA is filed under the name plant metagenome. RNAcentral describes it as "partial contains 5.8S ribosomal RNA, internal transcribed spacer 2, and large subunit ribosomal RNA". The stretch from base 1 to 105 matches the Rfam family "5.8S ribosomal RNA", at positions 50 to 154 of the family's 154-position model. The record is from RNAcentral.